This 71-nucleotide transfer RNA is filed under the name Pseudomonadota bacterium. RNAcentral's name for it is "tRNA-Arg". It matches the Rfam family "tRNA". Rfam says of the family: Transfer RNA (tRNA) molecules are approximately 80 nucleotides in length. The record is from RNAcentral. Lineage: Bacteria; Pseudomonadati; Pseudomonadota. RNAcentral also lists the same sequence under 2 other names.
GUCCCCAUAGCUUAAUGGAAGAGCACAGCCCUGCGGAGGCUGGGAUGGAGGUUCGAUUCCUCCUGGGGACA